GGCUCGAUGGCGGACGGUCCGCGUCUGCACCAUAUAUGCUCCAAUGGCGUGUCGGCAGAGGAUCCCCGUUCGACUCGGGGUCGAGCCA
Mycena vulgaris is the source of this 88-nucleotide non-coding RNA. The record is from the annotation of a GenBank genome assembly. NCBI's taxonomy places the organism in Eukaryota, Fungi, Basidiomycota, Agaricomycetes, Agaricales, Mycenaceae.